AGAGUUUGAUCCUGGCUCAGAUUGAACGCUGGCGGCAGGCCUAACACAUGCAAGUCGAGCGGUAGAGAGAAGCUUGCUUCUCUUGAGAGCGGCGGACGGGUGAGUAAUGCCUAGGAAUCUGCCUGGUAGUGGGGGAUAACGUUCGGAAACGGACGCUAAUACCGCAUACGUCCUACGGGAGAAAGCAGGGGACCUUCGGGCCUUGCGCUAUCAGAUGAGCCUAGGUCGGAUUAGCUAGUUGGUGGGGUAAUGGCUCACCAAGGCGACGAUCCGUAACUGGUCUGAGAGGAUGAUCAGUCACACUGGAACUGAGACACGGUCCAGACUCCUACGGGAGGCAGCAGUGGGGAAUAUUGGACAAUGGGCGAAAGCCUGAUCCAGCCAUGCCGCGUGUGUGAAGAAGGUCUUCGGAUUGUAAAGCACUUUAAGUUGGGAGGAAGGGUUGUAGAUUAAUACUCUGCAAUUUUGACGUUACCGACAGAAUAAGCACCGGCUAACUCUGUGCCAGCAGCGCGCGGUAAU
This 522-nucleotide ribosomal RNA is filed under the name uncultured bacterium. RNAcentral's name for it is "bacterial SSU rRNA". It matches the Rfam family "Bacterial small subunit ribosomal RNA", at positions 8 to 524 of the family's 1533-position model. The record is from RNAcentral.